RNAcentral lists this long non-coding RNA (1213 nucleotides) under Ficedula albicollis (Collared flycatcher). RNAcentral describes it as "lncRNA (ENSFALG00000028024.1)". Lineage: Eukaryota; Metazoa; Chordata; Aves; Passeriformes; Muscicapidae. The record is from RNAcentral.
UUACACUGUGCUCAGUGAUUUACACUGUGCUCAGUAACCUACACUGUGCUCAGUGAUGUACAAUGUGUUCAGUACUUUACAAUGUGUUCAGUAAUUUCCUGCUGUUCAUCUGCCCUCUGCCAGUGGGAACCAGAGGUGCAGGGGCAGGGUUGGUGUUUUCCAUUACCCGUUAACUCCGAGCCAGCCCUCAUGCAAUUAGUUAACACAAGCAAUUGGAGGAAUUGCUCAGGGUGCUCGCUCAGCCCUUGGAAGUGCUGUGGUUCUGAUUCCAUCUCCUUUGCUGUCUCGUUCACGGAUCAGUCACAACACUGUUCCUGUGCUCCGCUGGUUUGCUGCCCUUUCAGCAACGCUGAUAUUCCCCGGCAAGGCUGGUGGCUCGGGCAUAGGGGCAACUUGUUCCCAGCCCCAGACAAAGGACAGGUCCUGGCUCUGGAGUGCAAUCCCUGGGUGCCUGAAGGGCAUGGAUCGAGCUGCAGAGCAGCUGCUCCCUUUAAACUGCAGCAAUGCCCCCAGCCAGCAUCCUGUUCAGGGGGAGGAUCACGAUCCCAAACCCCGAGCUGCUCCCUUUAAACUGCAGCAAUGCCCCCAGCCAGCAUCCUGUUCAGAGCGAGGAUCGCGAUCCCAAACCCCGAGCUGCUCCCAGGAAAACUGCAGCAAUGCUCCCAGCCAGCAUCCUGUUCAGGGGGAGGAUCACGAUCCCAAACCCCGAGCUGCUCCCAGGAAAACUGCAGCAAUGCCCCCAGCCAGCAUCCUGUUCAGAGCGAGGAUCGCGAUCCCAAACCCCGAGCUGCUCCCAGGAAAACUGCAGCAAUGCUCCCAGCCAGCAUCCUGUUCAGGGGGAGGAUCACGAUCCCAAACCCCGAGCUGCUCCCAGGAAAUCUGCAGCAAUGCCCCCAGCCAGCAUCCUGUUCAGGGGCAGGAUCACCAUCCCAAACCCCGAGCUGCUCCCAGGAAAUCUGCAGCAAUGCCCCCAGCCAGCGUCCUGUUCAGAGCGAGGAUCGCGAUCCCAAACCCCGAGCUGCUGCCGCUGCUCCCGGGAGGAGCUGCUGCUGUGGGCAGCAGGGCAGGAGCUGUUCCAAGAAGGAGCCCAAAGUUGUACUCAGAGGUUUGGAUACUCCAGGAAUCUUUUCGGCUGUGUUUGAGUAUUGACUGUAAAACAGCACUUACUGGUUUUAGACCGGGAUUGCUUCAUGUAUCUACUGACAGUAAAUAA